RNAcentral lists this ribosomal RNA (873 nucleotides) under uncultured bacterium. Its description in RNAcentral is "bacterial SSU rRNA". It matches the Rfam family "Bacterial small subunit ribosomal RNA", at positions 1 to 917 of the family's 1533-position model. The record is from RNAcentral.
UGAGUUUGAUCCUGGCUCAGAACGAACGCUGGCGGCAUGCCUAACACAUGCAAGUCGAACGGGAUCCAGGCUUCGGCCUGGUGAGAGUGGCGGACGGGUGAGUAACGCGUGGGAACCUGCCCAUUGGUCUGGGAUAACCGCGGGAAACUGCGGCUAAUACCGGAUGAGCCCGAGAGGGGAAAGAUUCAUCGCCGAUGGAGGGGCCCGCGUCCGAUUAGGUAGUUGGUGGGGUAAUGGCUCACCAAGGCUACGAUCCAUAGCUGGUCUGAGAGGAUGAUCAGCCACACUGGGACUGAGACACGGCCCAGACUCCUACGGGAGGCAGCAGUAAGGAAUAUUGGACAAUGGAGGAAACUCUGAUCCAGCCAUGCCGCGUGUGUGAUGAAGGCCUUCGGGUUGUAAAACACUUUUAGAUGUGACGAUGAUGACGGUAACAUCAGAAAAAGCUCCGGCUAACUUCGUGCCAGCAGCCGCGGUAAUACGAGGGGAGCGAGCGUUGUUCGGAAUCACUGGGCGUAAAGCGUGCGUAGGCGGUUUUGUAAGUCAGAAGUGAAAGCCUGGGGCUCAACCUCAGAAUUGCUUUUGAGACUGCAAAGCUAGAGUAUUGGAGAGGUUAGUGGAAUUCCGAGUGUAGAGGUGAAAUUCGCAGAUAUUCGGAGGAACACCAGUGGCGAAGGCGACUAACUGGACAAUUACUGACGCUGAGGCACGAAAGCGUGGGGAUCAAACAGGAUUAGAUACCCUGGUAGUCCACGCCGUAAACGAUGUAUGCUAGCUGUUGGAAGUCUUAGGCUUUCGGCGGCGGAGCUAACGCAUUAAGCAUACCGCCUGGGGAGUACGGUCGCAAGAUUAAAACUCAAAGGAAUUGACGGA